UAAACGGUCCUUUUCAGGGCCACCAUUUUUUUCAGAAAGAGUAAG
This 45-nucleotide non-coding RNA is filed under the name Mytilus galloprovincialis (Mediterranean mussel). It matches the Rfam family "Histone 3' UTR stem-loop". From Rfam's summary of the family: The mRNAs of metazoan histone genes lack a poly-A tail. 3' end processing occurs at a site between a highly conserved stem-loop (modelled by this family) and a purine rich region around 20 nts downstream (the histone downstream element, or HDE). The record is from RNAcentral. Lineage: Eukaryota; Metazoa; Mollusca; Bivalvia; Mytilida; Mytilidae.